UGAGGAACAUGACCUUCGGCGGGGGAUAGCCGGCCCAACGGCCGGGUAAUACCGCGUACGACCACAUGGGGACAUCCCUGAGUGGUGAAAGCAGCAAUGCGCCGAUGGAGUGCCUCGCGGCCUAUCAGCUAGUUGGUGAGGUAACGGCUCACCAAGGCGACGACGGGUAGCUGGUCUGAGAGGAUGGCCAGCCUCAUUGGGACUGAGACACCGGCCCAAACUCCCGUAGGGACGG
Molecule: ribosomal RNA, 235 nt
Filed under: uncultured bacterium
Lineage: Bacteria
Description: partial 16S ribosomal RNA
Rfam family: Bacterial small subunit ribosomal RNA
Source: RNAcentral